ACAAGUCUGUUGGAAUACAGCGUCAUAGUGGUGAGAACCCCGUAACUGAUGCAGAUGCCCGGUGCUUUGUGAUAUACUUUCGAAGAGUCGAGUUGUUUGGGAAUGCAGCUCAAAUUGGGUGGUAAAUUCCAUCUAAAGCUAAAUAUUGGCGAGAGACCGAUAGCGAACAAGUACCGUGAGGGAAAGAUGAAAAGCACUUUGGAAAGAGAGUUAACAGUACGUGAAAUUGUUGGAAGGGAAACGCUUGAAGUCAGACUUGCUAUUUGGAAUUCAGCCGCAAGGUGUACUUUUCAAUUCGCAGGCCAGCAUCAGUUUUUGGGGGUGGAAAAGGGUAGAGAGAAGGUAGCAGUUUCGGCUGUGUUAUAGCUCUUUGCUGGAUUCAUCCUUGGGGACUGAGGAACGCAGCACGCUUUUUGCAAGGCUUUCGAGCUUUUCGUGCUUAGGAUGCUGGUGGAAUGGCUUUAAACGACCCGUCUUGAAACACGG
This 486-nucleotide ribosomal RNA is filed under the name Phenoliferia sp. Its description in RNAcentral is "partial large subunit ribosomal RNA". It matches the Rfam family "Eukaryotic large subunit ribosomal RNA", at positions 181 to 664 of the family's 3401-position model. The record is from RNAcentral. Lineage: Eukaryota; Fungi; Basidiomycota; Microbotryomycetes; Kriegeriales; Kriegeriaceae.